This 774-nucleotide ribosomal RNA is filed under the name Floracarus sp. 18sr84. Its description in RNAcentral is "partial 18S ribosomal RNA". It matches the Rfam family "Eukaryotic small subunit ribosomal RNA", at positions 389 to 910 of the family's 1831-position model. The record is from RNAcentral. Lineage: Eukaryota; Metazoa; Arthropoda; Arachnida; Trombidiformes; Eriophyidae.
ACAAGCUGAGAAACGGCUAGUAGGACUAAGGUCUGCAGCAGGCGCGAAACUUACACAAUGGGAGCACAUCCCUGAUGUAGUGAAGGAAAAUAACGAUGUAUCUUGCAUUACUGCAUGAUACAAUUGGAAUGAGACGACUGUAAAUAUGUUAGUCGAGUAACAAAUGGAGGGCAAGUCUGGUGCCAGCAGCCGCGGUAAUUCCAGCUCCAUUAGCGUAUAUUAAAGUUGUUGCGGUUAAAACGCUCGUAGUUGAAAUUAACUUGGUUUUUCAUCACUCGCUUCCAUUAAAGGCAGCAUUGGAUUCGUCUUUUGCUUGCCUGGUUGCCGUAGUGCACGUAAAGCCAAUGUUUCGCCACUUUAAACGAGUGCGAAGCGGGGUGUUAUAACAUAAACGGUAUUAAAACUUCGGUUUUUACCAGCUAUAGCACCAAGUUUACCUUGAGAAAAUUAGAGUGCUCACAGCAGGCAGUUGGGGCUUAACCGUCCUUUAAUGCUUGAAUAAUGUUGCAUGGAAUAAUAGAAUAUGGCCUCGGUUCUAUUCUGUUGGUCUUAUAGAACAACAAAAAAGUUGGUAAUUGCACCAAAGUUUCUUCGUGCGUUGGUUCUGCUUUAGUUAGCGCGUUUGUGUUGCCUAAAUGUUCAAAAGUUUAGUGCCGCGACGUUUGUUUCUAGCUGAGUGUUCCAUUAAAGGCGCGCGUUGUUUACGAGCAACCACCAACUGAGGCAAUGGUUAAAAGAAAUAGUCGCGGCGGCAUCAGUACUGCAUCGCUAGAG